GUAGUUUGAAUUUAUUUAUGUGUUUUCAUAAAUGUUUUGUCCUCAUAUCUGUAGUCUGUGUGUCUUUUUAGGUUAUGAGGUUCUCAAUAAGGUAGGGGAAAAUGUGUAUUUCUGGAUUCUUCUAGUUAUAGGCUAUAACAAUAUGUCAUACCUACAUAGAAGAAAUACCAGGUUUCCAUUUCUUGUUCUAUCCCCAUCCGUCUUUGCUUCCACAGUCAGUUUUAUUUAGUUUAGAUACUAGGAAAACUUUCAACAUAAAAUAGUAAAAAUAGCACAAAUUAUAAUACUAAUAUCUUUGCUAGUAUUAGAUACAGGCAACUAUGCGAGAUCAAAAUGUGACAGUUAUACUUUCUAAACAUCAUGGU
RNAcentral lists this long non-coding RNA (365 nucleotides) under Bos taurus (domestic cattle). RNAcentral describes it as "long non-coding RNA NONBTAT026599". Lineage: Eukaryota; Metazoa; Chordata; Mammalia; Artiodactyla; Bovidae. The record is from RNAcentral.